CCCUUAGAUGGUCUGGGCGGCACGCGCGCUACAAUGAUGCAUUCAAAAAGUCUUCUGACCUUAGAAGGUUGGGUAUUCUCCAAAGUGCAUCGUGAUGGGAAUAGUUUAUUGCAAUUUUUAAUCUUGAACGAGGAAUUCCUAGUAAGUACAGGUCAUCAACUUGUGUUGAUUACGUCCCUGCCCCUUGUACACACCGCCCGUCGCUCCUACUGAUUGAGUGUCUCGGUGAAUUCUUUGAUCUUCUGUCGAUUCAGUUCACUGAUCCGACGGUGGAAAGUUGAAUGAACUUCGUCACUUAGAGGAAGGAGAAGUCGUAACA
Molecule: ribosomal RNA, 319 nt
Filed under: uncultured eukaryote
Lineage: Eukaryota
Description: partial 18S ribosomal RNA
Rfam family: Eukaryotic small subunit ribosomal RNA
Source: RNAcentral